This 253-nucleotide ribosomal RNA is filed under the name uncultured bacterium. RNAcentral's name for it is "partial 16S ribosomal RNA". It matches the Rfam family "Bacterial small subunit ribosomal RNA", at positions 524 to 776 of the family's 1533-position model. The record is from RNAcentral.
UACGAGGGGGGCAAGCGUUGUUCGGAAUUAUUGGGCGUAAAGGGCGCGUAGGCGGAUGGCACAGUCAGAUGUGAAAUUCCUGGGCUUAACCUGGGGGCUGCAUUUGAUACGUGUGAUCUAGAGUGAGGAAGAGGGUUGUGGAAUUCCCAGUGUAGAGGUGAAAUUCGUAGAUAUUGGGAAGAACACCGGUGGCGAAGGCGGCGACCUGGUCCUUAACUGACGCUGAGGCGCGAAAGCGUGGGGAGCAAACAGG